UACAGAGGGUGCAAGCGUUAAUCGGAAUGACUGGGCGUAAAGGGCGCGUAGGCGGUUAGAUAAGUUAGAUGUGAAAUCCCUGGGCUUAACCUAGGAACUGCAUUUGAUACUAUUUAGCUAGAGUAGGGUAGAGGGAAGUGGAAUUUCCGGUGUAGCGGUGAAAUGCGUAGAUAUCGGAAGGAACACCAGUGGCGAAGGCGGCUUUCUGGACCUAUACUGACGCUGAGGCGCGAAAGCGUGGGGAGCAAACAGG
RNAcentral lists this ribosomal RNA (253 nucleotides) under uncultured organism. Its description in RNAcentral is "partial 16S ribosomal RNA". It matches the Rfam family "Bacterial small subunit ribosomal RNA", at positions 524 to 776 of the family's 1533-position model. The record is from RNAcentral.